AGCAGAAUACACCAAGACGCCCCCCUCGCAUGGAUGUGUCAAUGAUCACCCCAGAAUCCGCCACAAGCUGGGGUCCCUCAUAGAGCUUCACCCUGUCCAGGAUUCCAGGAUAGGAGUAUCCAUUGGUGCUAGGGUGCCAGUGGGCACUGUGCCACCAUGCCUGGGGCCUUGCUUUUCCCCAGCCCCCCUUGAGCUCACCAGGCCUGAGAGAGAAGGGAGGGAGGGAAAGGGAGGCAGGAAGGAGAGGGAAGGGGGGUGCUUUUCUCAGGCCUGGGGCCCCUAGCUCUUUGUCCAGCUCCUUUUGCAUCUCAAAGCACCAGCCGCAUUCCAAGCGAGGAUUGGGUUGCCAUGACAAUAAGCACAAUGGGCUGGGGGGUGAAGUCACCCGCUUCCCAGGCUCUAGUCCACCCCCUUUUAUCCCCUGUCCUGGCACCCCACAGCCCCAGGCACCUUAAAGGGGAACCAACCCAGGUUCCUGGACUCUGGGCUCUUGGCCAUGGAAAGUCCAGCCUCUAAGCAGACCCAUUUCCCCUCCCUUCCUGUUCAUCUCCACCAACUAGGGCUACUUGUUGGAGAGAAAUGCAAAGUUGUGGACAAAGUGUUGAACCGAGGCCUGUGAAGUCAGGGCCUUGAUUUUCUCUUCUGUAAAUGAUGAUGCCUUCCAGGUCAGAUGAUCCCUAUCCACGUUGAUAAGACAGGUUCCAGGUCAUACCAACUAAGGGACCAGAUGUGAUGUGCCCCUUCACAGAUUGGCCUGGGUUUGGAGGCUUCUGGAGAACUGUAAAGGGCAUCUAACCCAAUGCCCUCAUUUUACAGACGGGAAAAUGGGUCAUGGAGGAGUGACUUCACCAACAUCACUCAUAGGUGCUUGUGUCCGUGGUGAGAAGGGUGAUGGAGAGAAGUGGCUGCAGUUCCCACCCAUGGAGAGGUCACUGGUGAAUCCCAGCUAAAGAGGAAGGACAGGCCCGGCCUGAGUCCCACAGGGCUUGCUGCCUCCACCUGGGCAAAGGCAACACCAGUCUAACGUGCUCUGGGUCCGCAGGCUUACCAUCUGAGUCCUUCUGAUUGGGAUUGGGUACCAGGCGGCAGUUAUCGGGACCAGGAGGCACAUAAUCUGGGAUGCCAUCAUUGUCAUCAUCCCCAUCACACUCAUCUCCAAGUCCAUCGUUAUCAGAGUCCAGCUGGGAGCUAUUUGGCAGCUGUGGGCAGUUGUCCUUGGUGUCCUGAUGCCCAUCCCCAUCGCUAAUCAGAAGAACAGGUUGGUGAAAGUCCCGAACUUUGUCUCCCCACCCAGAGGACAACUGGCCAGGAAAUCUGCCUGUUUCUUGUCUCACCCUCUAGUCCACACUCUGCCUAACACUACGCCCUACCUCACAUUCCUAUUGACAUCUGCUGCAGGUAAUCUCUCCUCACCCAGGCCAACGUCCACAAGCCUGCCUCCCUAUUUCACAGAGACUUCCUAGCUUCCCUGCUUCAUCCCCACCUGAUCCAAAUUCUCACAGGUCCCCCAGCCACCCCUUCAGCCCCAGGCCUGCACCAUCCCCAUCCACGUCGUUGUCACAGGCAUCUCCUUCCCCAUUGCCAUCUGUGUCCUUCUGGUCAUUGUUGGGAACGUUGGGGCAAUUGUCACAGGCAUCACCAAAUGAAUCUGUAUCUGA
Molecule: long non-coding RNA, 1658 nt
Filed under: Homo sapiens (human)
Lineage: Eukaryota; Metazoa; Chordata; Mammalia; Primates; Hominidae
Description: HSALNT0295927
Source: RNAcentral